This 803-nucleotide ribosomal RNA is filed under the name uncultured bacterium. RNAcentral describes it as "bacterial SSU rRNA". It matches the Rfam family "Bacterial small subunit ribosomal RNA", at positions 18 to 807 of the family's 1533-position model. The record is from RNAcentral.
ACAGGCUUAGGAGAACGCUGGCGGCGUGCUUAACACAUGCAAGUCGAACGGAGGACUAAGAAGGAAGCUUGCGAAUCCUAGUCCUUAGUGGCGGACGGGUGAGUAACACGUGGAUAACCUGCCUGUAAGACUGGGACAACACCUGGAAACGGGUGCUAAUACCGGGUAAGCUCUUUUUGCCGCAUGGUGAGAAGAGGAGAGGGGAAACCCGCUUACAGAUGGAUCCGCGGCCCAUUAGCUAGUUGGCGGUGUAACGGACCACCAAGGCGACGAUGGGUAGCCGGCCUGAGAGGGUGAUCGGCCACACUGGAACUGAACACGGUCCAGACUCCUACGGGAGGCAGCAGUGGGGAAUCUUCCGCAAUGGGCGAAAGCCUGACGGAACAACGCCGCGUGAAUGAUGAAGGCCUUCGGGUUGUAAAAUUCUGUCUUCAGGGAAAAAAAAAAUGGACGGUACCUUGAAGAAGAAAGCCCCCGGCUAAACUACGUUGCCAGCAGCCGCGGGUAAUACGUAGGGGGCGAGGCGUUUGUCCCGGAAUUCACUGGGGCGUAAAGGGCGCGUAGGCGGUUUUAUUAAAGUCAGAGGGUGAAAGCUCCCGGCUCAACCGGGGGAAUUGCCUUUGAAACUGGAAGAAUUUGAGGGCAGGAGAGGGGAGUGGAAUUUCCCGGUGUAGCGGUGAAAUGCGUAGAUAUCGGGAGGAACACCAGUGGCGAAGGCGACUCUCUGGCCUGUUACUGACGCUGAGGCGCGAAAGCGUGGGGAUCAAACAGGAUUAGAUACCCUGGUAGUCCACGCCGUAACG